AGGUACCAUGAGGUGCUGAGAAGACGCAAUAGUUACUAUCCAGACAUUAUUCACGUUGAUGGUUUAAUAUCAGUAGUACAAAGUUCCUGUUCAUAUACUUUGACUUCACAUUGGAGACCUUCUGACAGGAAAAGGCAGUGGCAGCCAUCCAGAUGACUUCUGAAAAAGAGUUUUCCCAGAGCUGGCUGGAAUAAAAUUAGCUUUCAAGAUGUGGAAGUUUAAAAAAAAAAAAAUCAAACUGAGCAUUUAAGUUUCUGAAAUAAUGUCUUCAUUUGGAAAUAAAUUAUAUAAAAAACAA
Molecule: long non-coding RNA, 298 nt
Organism: Mastomys coucha (southern multimammate mouse)
Lineage: Eukaryota; Metazoa; Chordata; Mammalia; Rodentia; Muridae
Exons: 4
Source: RefSeq, a predicted model, not a curated record